This 26-nucleotide small RNA is filed under the name Paenibacillus sp. P22. The record is from RNAcentral. Lineage: Bacteria; Bacillati; Bacillota; Bacilli; Caryophanales; Paenibacillaceae.
GGCAAACCCCGUCUGCCUCCGGGGUA